RNAcentral lists this ribosomal RNA (448 nucleotides) under uncultured bacterium. RNAcentral's name for it is "SSU rRNA". It matches the Rfam family "Bacterial small subunit ribosomal RNA", at positions 26 to 518 of the family's 1533-position model. The record is from RNAcentral.
AGAGCGAACGCUGGCGGCAGGCUUAACACAUGCAAGUCGAGCGGGCGUAGCAAUACGUCAGCGGCAGACGGGUGAGUAACGCGUGGGAACGUACCUUUUGGUUCGGAACAACCCAGGGAAACUUGGGCUAAUACCGGAUAAGCCCUUACGGGGAAAGAUUUAUCGCCGAAAGAUCGGCCCGCGUCUGAUUAGCUAGUUGGUGAGGUAAUGGCUCACCAAGGCGACGAUCAGUAGCUGGUCUGAGAGGAUGAUCAGCCACAUUGGGACUGAGACACGGCCCAAACUCCUACGGGAGGCAGCAGUGGGGAAUAUUGGACAAUGGGCGCAAGCCUGAUCCAGCCAUGCCGCGUGAGUGAUGAAGGCCCUAGGGUUGUAAAGCUCUUUUGGUGCGGGAAGAUAAUGACGGUACCGCAAGAAUAAGCCCGGCUAACUUCGCGCCAGCAGCCGC